This 84-nucleotide transfer RNA is filed under the name Lactobacillus iners. Its description in RNAcentral is "tRNA-Leu". It matches the Rfam family "tRNA". From Rfam's summary of the family: Transfer RNA (tRNA) molecules are approximately 80 nucleotides in length. Their secondary structure includes four short double-helical elements and three loops (D, anti-codon, and T loops). Lineage: Bacteria; Bacillati; Bacillota; Bacilli; Lactobacillales; Lactobacillaceae. The record is from RNAcentral. RNAcentral also lists the same sequence under 1 other name.
GCACAUGUGGCGGAACUGGCAGACGCGCUAGACUUAGGAUCUAGUUCUUUAUGAGUGAAGGUUCAAGUCCUUUCAUGUGCACCA